UACGGAGGAUGCAAGCGUUAUCCGGAUUUAUUAGGUUUAAAGGGUGCGCAGGCGGAAAUGUAAGUCAGUGGUGAAAGCCUACAGCUUAACUGUAGAAAUGCCAUUGAUACUGCUUUUCUUGAGUAUAGUUGAAGUAGGCGGAAUGUGUAGUGUAGCGGUGAAAUGCAUAGAUAUUACACAGAACACCGAUUGCGAAGGCAGCUUACUAAACUAUUACUGACGCUCAUGCACGAAAGCGUGGGGAG
Molecule: ribosomal RNA, 245 nt
Filed under: uncultured Bacteroidota bacterium
Lineage: Bacteria; Pseudomonadati; Bacteroidota
Description: uncultured Bacteroidetes bacterium partial 16S ribosomal RNA
Rfam family: Bacterial small subunit ribosomal RNA
Source: RNAcentral